UCCCUGGCGGCUCAGAUGGUAAAGAAUCUGCCUGUAAUGCAGGAGACCCAGGUUCAAUCCCUGGAUUGGGAA
This 72-nucleotide transfer RNA is filed under the name Bos taurus (domestic cattle). It matches the Rfam family "tRNA". From Rfam's summary of the family: Transfer RNA (tRNA) molecules are approximately 80 nucleotides in length. Their secondary structure includes four short double-helical elements and three loops (D, anti-codon, and T loops). Further hydrogen bonds mediate the characteristic L-shaped molecular structure. tRNAs have two regions of fundamental functional importance: the anti-codon, which is responsible for specific mRNA codon recognition, and the 3' end, to which the tRNAs corresponding amino acid is attached (by aminoacyl-tRNA synthetases). tRNAs cope with the degeneracy of the genetic code in two manners: having more than one tRNA (with a specific anti-codon) for a particular amino acid; and 'wobble' base-pairing, i.e. permitting non-standard base-pairing at the 3rd anti-codon position. Lineage: Eukaryota; Metazoa; Chordata; Mammalia; Artiodactyla; Bovidae. The record is from Rfam by way of RNAcentral. RNAcentral also lists the same sequence under 2 other names.